Molecule: microRNA, 21 nt
Filed under: Callithrix jacchus (white-tufted-ear marmoset)
Lineage: Eukaryota; Metazoa; Chordata; Mammalia; Primates; Cebidae
Also listed under: 4 other names
Source: RNAcentral
UAUGUCUGCUGACCAUCACCU